RNAcentral lists this ribosomal RNA (425 nucleotides) under uncultured bacterium. RNAcentral describes it as "partial 16S ribosomal RNA". It matches the Rfam family "Bacterial small subunit ribosomal RNA", at positions 354 to 796 of the family's 1533-position model. The record is from RNAcentral.
GUGGGGAAUCUUAGACAAUGGGGGCAACCCUGAUCUAGCCAUGCCGCGUGAGUGAUGAAGGCCUUAGGGUCGUAAAGCUCUUUCGCUGGGGAAGAUAAUGACGGUACCCAGUAAAGAAACCCCGGCUAACUCCGUGCCAGCAGCCGCGGUAAUACGGAGGGGGCUAGCGUUGUUCGGACUUACUGGGCGUAAAGCGCGCGUAGGCGGACUGAAAAGUUGGGGGUGAAAUCCCGGGGCUCAACCUCGGAACUGCCUUCAAAACUAUAAGGCUGGAGUUCGAGAGAGGUUAGUGGAAUUCCGAGUGUAGAGGUGAAAUUCGUAGAUAUUCGGAGGAACACCAGUGGCGAAGGCGGCUCACUGGCUCGAUACUGACGCUGAGGUGCGAAAGCGUGGGGAGCAAACAGGAUUAGAAACCCCGGUAGUCC